RNAcentral lists this ribosomal RNA (496 nucleotides) under uncultured bacterium. RNAcentral describes it as "partial 16S ribosomal RNA". It matches the Rfam family "Bacterial small subunit ribosomal RNA", at positions 29 to 523 of the family's 1533-position model. The record is from RNAcentral.
AUUGAACGCUGGCGGCAUGCUUUACACAUGCAAGUCGAACGGUAGAGGGGGCAACCCCUUGAGAGUGGCGAACGGGUGAGUAAUGCAUCGGAACGUGCCCAGUCGUGGGGGAUAACGCAGCGAAAGCUGUGCUAAUACCGCAUACGAUCUCUGGAUGAAAGCGGGGGACCGAAAGGCCUCGCGCGAUUGGAGCGGCCGAUGUCAGAUUAGGUAGUUGGUGGGGUAAAGGCUCACCAAGCCAACGAUCUGUAGCUGGUCUGAGAGGACGACCAGCCACACUGGGACUGAGACACGGCACAGACUCCUACGGGAGGCAGCAGUGGGGAAUUUUGGACAACGGGCGCAAGCCUGAUCCAGCAAUGCCGCGUGCAGGAAGAAGGCCUUCGGGUUGUAAACUGCUUUUGUACGGAACGAAAAGGUCUGGGUUAAUACCCUGGGCACAUGACGGUACCGUAAGAAUAAGCACCGGCUAACUACGUGCCAGCAGCCGCCGUAA